AUAGAUACCCAGGUAGGUCCACGCCCUAAACGAUGCGAACUGGAUGUUGGGUACAUUACGGUACUCAGUGUCGAAGCCAACGCGUUAAGUUCGCCGCCUGGGGAGUACGGUCGCAAGACUGAAACUCAAAGGAAUUGACGGGGGCCCGCACAAGCGGUGGAGUAUGUGGUUUAAUUCGAUGCAACGCGAAGAACCUUACCUGGCCUUGACAUCUGUCGAAUCCUGCAGAGAUGCGGGAGUGCCGCAAGGAACGACAAGACAGGUGCUGCAUGGCUGUCGUCAGCUCGUGUCGUGAGAUGUUGGGUUAAGUCCCGCAACGAGCGCAACCCUUGUCCCUAGUUGCCAACACGUAAUGGUGGGAACUCUAGGGAGACUGCCGGUGACAAACCGGAGGAAGGUGGGGAUGACGUCAAGUCCUCAUGGCCCUUAGGCCAGGGCUACACACGUACUACAAUGGUCGGUACAGAGGGUUGCGAAGCCGCGAGGCGGAGCCAAUCCCAGAAGCCGAUCCCAGUCCGGAUUGGAGUCUGC
RNAcentral lists this ribosomal RNA (531 nucleotides) under uncultured bacterium. Its description in RNAcentral is "bacterial SSU rRNA". It matches the Rfam family "Bacterial small subunit ribosomal RNA", at positions 778 to 1308 of the family's 1533-position model. The record is from RNAcentral.